AGUUUGAUCCUGGCUCAGGAUGAACGCUGGCGGCGUGCUUAACACAUGCAAGUCGAACGGAGCUUUUUUGAAGGAGACUUCGGUCAACGGAAGCUAAAGCUUAGUGGCGGACGGGUGAGUAACGCGUGAGUAACCUGCCUUUCAGAGGGGGAUAACACCCGGAAACGGAUGCUAAUACCGCAUAAACAGCAGCACCGCAUGAUGCAACUGUCAAAGAUUUUAUCGCUGAAAGAUGGACUCGCGUCCGAUUAGGUAGUUGGUGAGGUAACGGCCCACCAAGCCGACGAUCGGUAGCCGGACUGAGAGGUUGAACGGCCACAUUGGGACUGAGACACGGCCCAGACUCCUACGGGAGGCAGCAGUGGGGAAUAUUGCACAAUGGGCGCAAGCCUGAUGCCAGCAACGCCGCGUGAGGGAAGACGGUUUUCGGAUUGUAAACCUCUGUUCUUAGUGACGAAGAAGUGACGGUAGCUAAGGAGCAAGCCACGGCUAACUACGUGCCAGCCGCUGC
This 511-nucleotide ribosomal RNA is filed under the name uncultured bacterium. RNAcentral describes it as "bacterial SSU rRNA". It matches the Rfam family "Bacterial small subunit ribosomal RNA", at positions 10 to 518 of the family's 1533-position model. The record is from RNAcentral.